This 492-nucleotide ribosomal RNA is filed under the name uncultured bacterium. RNAcentral describes it as "partial 16S ribosomal RNA". It matches the Rfam family "Bacterial small subunit ribosomal RNA", at positions 29 to 507 of the family's 1533-position model. The record is from RNAcentral.
AGUGAACGCUGGCGGUAGGCCUAACACAUGCAAGUCGAACGGCAGCACAGUAAGAGCUUGCUCUUACGGGUGGCGAGUGGCGGACGGGUGAGGAAUACAUCGGAAUCUACUUUUUCGUGGGGGAUAACGUAGGGAAACUUACGCUAAUACCGCAUACGACCUACGGGUGAAAGCAGGGGAUCUUCGGACCUUGCGCGAUUGAAUGAGCCGAUGUCGGAUUAGCUAGUUGGCGGGGUAAAGGCCCACCAAGGCGACGAUCCGUAGCUGGUCUGAGGGGAUGAUCAGCCACACUGGAACUGAGACACGGUCCAGACUCCUACGGGAGGCAGCAGUGGGGAAUAUUGGACAAUGGGCGCAAGCCUGAUCCAGCCAUACCGCGUGGGUGAAGAAGACCUUCGGGUUGUAAAGCCCUUUUGUUGGGAAAGAAAAGCAGCAGGUUAAUACCCCGCUGUUCUGACGGUACCCAAAGAAUAAGCACCGGCUAACUUCGUG